RNAcentral lists this transfer RNA (50 nucleotides) under Ophiopogon angustifoliatus. RNAcentral describes it as "Ophiopogon bockianus var. angustifoliatus partial tRNA-Leu". The record is from RNAcentral. Lineage: Eukaryota; Viridiplantae; Streptophyta; Magnoliopsida; Asparagales; Asparagaceae.
AAUACCGACAACAAUGAAAUUUAUAGUAAGAGGAAAAUCCGUCGACUUUA